CUACGGGUCGCUGCAGUGGGGAAUCUUGCACAAUGGAGGAAACUCUGAUGCAGCGAUGCCGCGUGAGUGAAGAAGGCCCUUGGGUUGUAAAGCUCUUUCGUCGGGGAAGAAAAUGACUGUACCCGAAUAAGAAGGUCCGGCUAACUUCGUGCCAGCAGCCGCGGUAAUACGAAGGGACCUAGCGUAGUUCGGAAUUACUGGGCUUAAAGAGUUCGUAGGUGGUUGAAAAAGUUAGUGGUGAAAUCCCAGAGCUUAACUCUGGAACUGCCAUUAAAACUUUUCAGCUAGAGUAUGAUAGAGGAAAGCAGAAUUUCUAGUGUAGAGGUGAAAUUCGUAGAUAUUAGAAAGAAUACCAAUUGCGAAGGCAGCUUUCUGGAUCAUUACUGACACUGAGGAACGAAAGCAUGGGUAGCGAAGAGGAUUAGAUACCCGAGUAGUC
RNAcentral lists this ribosomal RNA (439 nucleotides) under uncultured bacterium. Its description in RNAcentral is "partial 16S ribosomal RNA". It matches the Rfam family "Bacterial small subunit ribosomal RNA", at positions 339 to 795 of the family's 1533-position model. The record is from RNAcentral.